GAUGAAGAACGUAGCGAAAUGCGAUAAGUAAUGUGAAUUGCAGAAUUCAGUGAAUCAUCGAAUCUUUGAACGCACAUUGCGCCCGCCAGUAUUCUGGCGGGCAUGCCUGUUCGAGCGUCAUUUCAACCCUCGACCUCCCCUUGGGGAGGUCGGCGUUGGGGACCGGCAGCACACCGCCGGCCCUGAAAUGGAGUGGCGGCCCGUCCGCGGCGACCUCUGCGCAGUAAUACAGCUCGCACCGGGACCCCGACGCGGCCACGCCGUAAAACACCCAACUUCUGAACGUUGACCUCGAAUCAGGUAGGACUACCCGCUGAACUUAAGCAUAUCAAUAAGCGGAGGA
RNAcentral lists this unclassified non-coding RNA (343 nucleotides) under soil metagenome. Its description in RNAcentral is "partial contains 5.8S ribosomal RNA, internal transcribed spacer 2, and large subunit ribosomal RNA". The stretch from base 1 to 120 matches the Rfam family "5.8S ribosomal RNA", at positions 35 to 154 of the family's 154-position model. The record is from RNAcentral.